UGGACGAAAGGCUUGCCGCCUUAGGAUGGCUCUGCGACCUAUCAGGUGUAGGGAGGGUAACGGCCUCCCUAGCCUACGACGGGUACGGGCGUUGAGAGACGUCGCCCGGAGAUGAACUCUGAGACACGAGUUCAGGCCCUACGGGGCGCAGCAGGCGCGAAAACUGCACAAUGCUGGAAACAGCGAUGCGGGAAUUCCAAGUGCCAGCACUGAGUGUUGGCUGUUCCAUUGUCUAAAAAACAUAGGAAGUAAGGGCUGGGUAAGACGGGUGCCAGCCGCCGCGGUAAUACCUGCAGCCCGAGUGGUGGCCGUUAUUAUUGGGCCUAAAACGUCCGUAGCCUGUUUGGUAGAUGCCUAUGUAAAUCGAACGGCUCAACCGUUCGAAGUGUGGGUAGACCGCCAGACUUGGGACCGGGAGAGUCACGAAGUACUCCGGGGGUAGAGGUGAAAUUCUGUAAUCCUCGGGGGACUACCGGUGGCGAAGGCGUCGUGAUAGAACGGCUCCGACGGUGAGGGACGAAGCCCUGGGGCGCAAACCGGAUUAGAUACCCGGGUAGUCCAGGGUGUAAACGCUGCGGUCUUGGUGUCGGGAGUCCUACG
Molecule: ribosomal RNA, 600 nt
Filed under: uncultured archaeon
Lineage: Archaea
Description: bacterial SSU rRNA
Rfam family: Archaeal small subunit ribosomal RNA
Source: RNAcentral